GAUAUGGGGCAGGCCUAAAAUGGCAAGUCGAGCGGAAUACGGGAGCUUGCUGCUUGAUUCAACGGCGGACGGGUGAGUAAUGCCUAGGAAUCUGCCUGGCUUGUCGGACAACGUUUUAAACUCUCGCUAUUACCGCAUACCUCCUACGGGACAAAGCAUGGGACCUUCGGGCGUUGCGCUAUCUAAUGAACCUAGGUCGGAUUACCUGAUUGGUGGGGUAAGGGCUCGCCAAGGCUACCAUCCGUAACUGUUCUGAGAGGAUGAGAGAUGAACUGGAACUGAGAGACGGUCCCAACUCCUACAGAAAUCAACAGUGGGGAAUAUUGGACAAUGGGCGAAAGCCUGAUCCAGCCAUGCCGCGUGUGUGAAGAAGGUCUUCGGAUUGUAAAGCACUUUAAGUUGGGAGGAAGGGCAGUAAAUUAAUACCUUGCUGUUUUGACGUUACCGACAGAAUAAGCACCGGCUAACUCUGUGCCAGCAGCCGCGGUAAUACAGAGGGUGCAAGCGUUAAUCGGAAUUACUGGGCGUAAAGCGCGCGUAGGUGGUUCGUUAAGUUGGAUGUGAAAGCCCCGGGCUCAACCUGGGAACUGCAUCCAAAACUGGCGAGCUAGAGUACGGUAGAGGGUGGUGGAAUUUCCUGUGUAGCGGUGAGGUGCAUAUGAUAUAGGAAGGAACACCAGUGGCGAAGCGACCACCUGGACUGAUACUGACACUGAGGUGCGUGGGGAGCAAACAGGAUUAGAUACCCUGGUAGUAUCACGCUGGUAAUCGAUGUCAACUAGCCGUUGGAAUCCUUGAGAUUUUAGUGGCGCACAUAACGCAUUAAGUUGACCGCCUGGGGAGUACGGCCGCAAGGUUAAAAAUCAAAUGAAUUGACGGGGGCCCGCACAAGCGGUGGAGCAUGUGGUUUAAUUUGAAGCAACGCGAAGAACCUUACCAGGCCUUGACAUGCAGAGAACUUUCCAGAGAUGGAUUGGUGCCUUUGGGACCUCUGACACAGGUGCUGCAUGGCUGUAGUCAGCUCGUCUCGUGAGAUGUUGGGUUAAGUCCCGUAAUCAGCGCAACCCUUGUCCUUAGUUACCAACACGUUAUCGUGGGCACUUUAAGGAGACUGCCGGUGACAAACCGGAGGAAGGUGGGGAUGACGUCAAGUCAUCAUGGCCUUUACGGCCUGGGGUACGCACGUGCUACAAUGGUCGGUACAGAGGGUUGGCAAGCCGCGAGGUGGAGCUAAUCUCACAAAACCGAUAGUAGUUCGGCUGGCAGUAUGCAACUCGAUUGCGUGAAGUCGGAAUCGCUAGUAAUCUCGAAUCAGAAUGUCGCGAAGAAUACGUUGCCGGCCUUCUACACACCGCCCGUCAGCCAUGGGAGUCGUGAACUCCAGAAGUAGGUUAGUGCAACCUCCCGCAGGACGUUAUUUAUACGAAUGCUCAAAUGUU
Molecule: ribosomal RNA, 1439 nt
Filed under: Peribacillus frigoritolerans
Lineage: Bacteria; Bacillati; Bacillota; Bacilli; Caryophanales; Bacillaceae
Description: bacterial SSU rRNA
Rfam family: Bacterial small subunit ribosomal RNA
Source: RNAcentral